Molecule: long non-coding RNA, 736 nt
Filed under: Phasianus colchicus (ring-necked pheasant)
Lineage: Eukaryota; Metazoa; Chordata; Aves; Galliformes; Phasianidae
Description: lncRNA (ENSPCLG00000009224.1)
Source: RNAcentral
CAAAACAGUAGGAUGAAUAUUUUGGUAUUUGAAAGCGUGUUAACAUUUUAUUAUUGGUUUCAGAAAAACACUGAGAAUUGCAGAAGUUCCUCAGAAAAGCAGAGUUGGUCAAAAAAGCAUUUGUGGAGCUUCAGACAGAAUGCAUGAGUUCUCACUAGAGGAUCUGCACUACGUUCCUGGCUGGCCUGCUGCCUUCUCCAAGUGUACAAGUUGCUGAGUGUUGAGUGGAGUGAAACUGUGUGUGUUUCUUUGAGCCGUGGAUCCAACCAGUCCCACUGAGUUUAAGAAGAUUUCUCUCUCUGGGGUGGCACGUCUUAGACUCUUCGGUCUUCAACUUAUCAGGAGAAUUGGCCAUCAACUUUGACUACAUCUUGAUGAAUCCUUAAUAAAUCCAUGGAGAGGACCAGUAGAAGGAAGGACAGCAGAAGAGGCUCCACUGUGACUUCAUGUAGCUGGUUGCAAGCUGUGUGUGUCGCCCUGCCAUCUUCACCUGCAGGAGCUGAGUGUGCAGCACCAAGUGCCUCAAGAAGGGAUGGCUUUGGGGAAAACAUAUAUGCUUCCAACAAGGAAUUGCUAUUUCUAGAGGAAUAAAUUCAUUUCAGACAGCACUGAUAAUGAUGUCCCACACUGGUUAUUGGCUUGCGCAACUUUCCUGAAAUUAAACAAUGCUUUUCUUCUGUAAGUUAUUUGUGUCUUUCAAGUUUUUUUUUCUAAAAUGGUUCAGCACCACAGUGAA